UUUUUUUUUUUUUUUUUUUUUGUUAAUACAAGGCAAAUUUACAAUUUUUUUUCCCUACAGCGUCAUGAGUCAUAAGUCAUACACCUGAAAUUAAAUUAAUUUUCCCCUAAUAUAAUUAAUUACUAAAAGCGUACAAUUACUAUAAGUCCCAGCAGCGACUUCUGAGUUUGGAACCCGAACAUUGGUAUAACAUUGCCUGCUACCCUUGGACGGACUGCAACUAAAUUCUACUUUCUACUUCUCUCAGGCAUUUCAGGAUGAAAUCUGUUCGGCCCUUUGUGUUGAAACCUCAUCAUCAGGACACUAGAAUGCAGAGUUUGUGGACCUUGCUUAUCUUGGCUGGAAUCUCCAGUUCCACUCGGACUUCCUGACCUGAAACUUAUUUUGCAAUUCGAAGCUUAUAAUGGGAAAAAAUGCUCAUCUACCAGAGCAGAAUGUUAUUUCUUGUACAUGGAAGGAAAAAGCCAAAGGUAUAGUAAUUAGGAGUAGCUAGCCACCCUUCAGGAAGAGGCUGGCCACUGAACAACGAGAGACCGGAACAGCAGCAAUCGGUGAAAUGUAAGUCCCUACCAGUACUUGACUGCCCGCAAGGCGAUCAAGAAAAACUCUGGUUAACAUCUCUUUAUUCAGCUCUUUCACUAAAAAAUGAAUACUGAUCAUGAACAAGCAAAUGAUGAAUAAUUACAUUUAUCCUAGAUCAAUGGCAGAGGCAUAUAACAUAAUGAAAUCUCAUGCUGGCUGGCUGGCUUCUUGGCAACUAGAAUUUGUUGAAAAGAUAUUGCCAAAAAGCACAGAUAGUUGCUACUUACGGCUUCUUCACCCGAAGGCUUGGAGUGCUCAAUGUCCUGCUGGAUCGUAUUCCUCUUUCUUUUCGCGGAUGAGCACGAAAGCACAUUUGCAUGUGAAAAAAAGUAGCAGCCCGCUGAGAGAGAGGAGCAUAAUGAACUCUACCACAAGUGCUGAUCCCAGGGCUGCAGUGCCACGCACAUCAGAGCCAAUAGCAGUUCAACAACUAUUUACUCCGGUAACAAAUCUCUACAAAUGCUAAAUAUCUGGCUACUGCAGGUUAUUGCACACUUCAAACGAAUUGUGCAGGCAAUAAGAGAUUGGAGCUUACCAUGAGCUAACAGCGAACUCAUUGGCGGUCUUCUUAUUAGACUUAUUGUAGCCUCAGCAAAUAAUGGCAUUGACAUCAUUUGCUCGCAAUUCGGGCAACACCCAUAGUUUCCCAUAUCAUUUACUCUCACAGUCAGAACAUCACCAUGUUUGCCACCCUGCAGAAGUUGUCAGUUAAUCCCAAAUAGAAUACCAACUGCAUGAGAAAAUCCUAGUUUUCCAAUGAUGCUUACAUGAUACAUCAAUUGUUCAAUUAUACUGUUGCAGUCAUUAAUAGUCCCUCGGACUCUAAUGCCUUUUGCUUUCACCAUAAAAUGUUUAGAGAUGGUAACAAAUGUCAGAAGGGGCUGCCACUGGUAACUUGUCUUUAGCUUCAGUUCAGUCGUGGCUACAAGCUCAGCAGGAAGACUUGUAGAUAGAACUCCAGAACUGACUUCAAAAGAGAUGAUGACUAAAAAGUGAGACCUGUUACCUGAAAAUCAGCCAAGUAGAAAAUCAGGCACCAAUAUCCUGUCUGAUAAGCUUUUGGACUCUCAAAGGUAAGUCUUCUACAUCGUCUGAUGAUCAAGUUUGUUUUUCCAGAAUUUUCCAUAUAAACCGAAUGCCCUCUGCGUUUCCAGAGUAAUCAGCACUUUAUAGGUAACUAACGGUACAAAUUAGAGACUAGCAAGAACCGAGCAUUUUAGUGCAAUUCCAACAACAAAUAAAACUUGAUGUUAAUGAGGUAAUGUCUAUUAGAGCUGGCAAGCUGUUAUCCAAGAAAGCCAGAAAAAAUGUGUUUUGACAUUGCACAUAUAUGCAUCAUUUCAUACACAAAAUCAGCUUAGCUGUCAUAAUUUGAUCUUACAUGUUGCGUAUACUUCUAUACUGCAUAAGCUGUCUUGUAAAUGAUCUUACUUAUACUGUCAAGUUUUGCAAUAUUGAAAAUUUUUUAUUUUUAAAUGCUAGAGUCUGUCUAUGAAGCGACUAAAUUCAAUGCGUUUGUACUGUCUUGCAUACCAGGGAAAUUUGGAAGAUCUGGAUCCCCAAUACUGAAGUCAAAUUUGUCUUUCUUUCUAUCAAAAAUAAGUACAUCUCCCGAAUCUUCAAGGAAAAUAAAUGCAGGGGCAUUGAUAAAUGGAUGGUCAUUAAUAGGUUCCACAAAUACAGGAACUUUAACACUGUUCUUCCCAUUUCUGUUCAUGGUAGAGACUUGGAUUGCAUCAUCACCGCAAAAGUUCUCAUCCCUGCUUCAAGGUAACAAACAGCUCAUCUUAAUGCAGCACACUUAAUGAUGUUUAACCACAAAGAGUCAUGCUGUGCAUUUUUUUCCCUUUUUACUUUGUGGGGAGAAGGUGAGAUGAAGAAAGAGAGAGUACUCUCACUUGAUAAUUCUGAUGGAUGCUUAAAAGAAAGUUUGCUGCUUUGCAGAGGCUUAAUAAAAGACAGACGAACUUAUGUUGCUACAAAUUCAUUCCCACAAGGCCUACAUGACACAUCAUGCAUUUCGAGAAGGAAAAUUAAGUGAGGUGUCUGUCUUACCCAAAGUACCGGAUUGCUUGAAGGGCAGAGUUAAUUACAUCCACACGACCAGCCAAAAUCAACUCUUUGGCCUUCUGAUGAUCUAUUUUUACUGAUAAUUCACCCCAGAGCGGCUGCCAAAAUUGCAUUAGCAUUGGAGACAGGAAGACAGUUCCAUACUGUGCAUUAAGAAUAACCGUGAUGUUCUCAUCCAAAUCUGAGUAUGCAAUCUCAAAUCCAGAGAAACCACUGCACACAGAGCAGGCAAGAAUUUUGAUGUCUUUUGAGAGCAGUAGUUUAAAAGUUCUAAGAUAUGUUCUUCAUUUUUUCAAAGCUAAAUCUACUAUAAAGAAAGGCAACAUACCCAAAUCUGGGACUAAUUAGAUCCUCCGUUCCGUGCAAUUGACUUGGAAAGGAGACAAACUGAGGUGGAAUACUAAGGAUAUCUAUAUUGACAGAACCAGAAGCUACGUUGCCAUUUACAUCACAGAUGGUAUACACGAAAGAAUCAUUUCCAUUAAAUCCUUUGUAAGGUGUGUAUCUGAAAAGACCUCCAUACUGCAGAAGGGAACCAUGAUCUGGCUGUGACAAGUAUCAUUUACAACAGUAAGUCCUCCAAACAGAAAAGUGCUCAAUUGCCUUAACAAGUACCCAAGGUGUGGUCUUACAUAUGCUCACUCUGUGCGAGUGAAACACUUCUCGACAUGACAAUGUGAAUGGCCAAAAGCUAGUUGAACAAAUAGGAAUCAUGUAUUCUCUUUUAUUUUAAAAGGUAGAACCCAAAAUUAAGAUGGACAGUCACUCACACAAACAUAACGUUAUAGUUUAUGCAGGUCAUGAUAUGUUAUGGACACGAGGUUUCAUCCAACAUAAUUACGCAGCUUACCCUCGAAUAUUCUUUUAUACUAGCAUUGCCACCUGCAAAGUAAUCAUUGUCUAGAGCAUCAACUGCAGUUGACUCAUCCUCCCAGACAGGGACUGUAUCAUUUAAAACUUUAGGAAAAUAUUCACCUGAAAAAAAAAAAAAGAAUAAAUCAGUUAGAUGGAGAAUAUAGAAGUAUACAAAAAGAAUGCAACAAGCCCUUUAGAGAUGGAAGACACCAUGAGAUCAUGACCAGCACCAAAAGAUAUCAAGCACCACAUUGAUAUUUCGAAUGAGGACAGUAAUUGUUGUCACCUGUAAUUACUAAAACCAAAGAAAGUGUUCUUCCAAAUAUAAACCAAACAUCUACAGACAUACUUGUAUAAACAUUCACGCCAAUUGGACAUGGCGUGAAAUGCUGUCCAUCAAAUGAAGCGCAUAUCUCAUAGGUGCCAACGUCCUUAGCCAAGAAACUACCAGUAUAAGUUCCGUCUUUGUUGUCAACAAACAUCAUUGUCGAAAAGCCAGAUCUAUUGACUGAAGCAACCUCAAGUUUCAAUUUUGACUGCUCUGACAGAACUGGAUUGGAGUAUGAAUCCAGGAGCUGUAUAACUACUUCACUUUUUGCAAGCUUCGGUACUUUUGAAGCAAACUCCACAACCCCUGAAAGGGAUAGAUUCACCUUCCCUGGAGAACAGAUGAAUCAGUAUGCCACACGCAUUUUGAAUUAAAUAUCAAAUGCAUCAAAGCAGAAAAGGUAGAAAAAAUGCCAUCUGAAACACAGUAAGAGAUAUUCACCUGAAAUAUAUGGGGGAAAAAACCCACGUUAACAACAUUUAUAUAAAGCAAGAAUUUAAAAGUUCUGUUUCAAAUUAUAAUGAGUACUUUUACAUAUUAAGUAGUAAAUGCCAAACUUCCCAAAAUCUAAACUGACUGGAUAUACAUUACAAGGCAUGAAUCACUAAAUACUUUUUGCAUUUUCUAUUGCUUAGACUAUGUUUGCACAUUCAGGGGGUUAAGACAUUACUUAAUCACCCCAAAUUAAUAUAUACAGUACUUUACAAUGUACCUGCACUUACUACCUUUCUGAAGGGAUUGCCACCAUUUAGUGGAACAUUUCCACAAAAGAUAGAGAUUUCAUACGUCCCACUCUUUUCAGGUACAAAAGCGACCUCAAAGUUACUUGCGCUGAACCUUGUGUUCUCGGUAGACUACAUCCACAGCUAACAAUUAUCACUGUCUUCAAUGUGGUACAUAUAGCAAAAAAUUUUAAAAUGAAAACCUGAAUUUUACCUUAUUUUUUGCACCAUCAGUUGAAGGAGUAAGUUUGUCAAGUGUUCCAGCAAAAGUACCUGUUAUAGCAGUCAAGCUCAUCUAUCAAAGUGACAACAAGAUGGUGUAUAUUGAAGCAUAAACUAGAUGCUCAUUCUCAUACCCAUUUCGGCUUUCUUUGGACGUAUCCUUGGUCGUAACUGUUUUAAACUGGAUUCAUGCAGAAUUUUUACUUGCAGCAUAUCUAAUUCAGCUGGAGAAGGAUAUAAAUAGGCAUCUCUCAAGAACACAGAAAAAGUUGAAACUUCUCCAGCAAAAGAGUGAUUUAAACCAGUUCCAUUGACAACGCUGUUUGUCCCAUCACAAUAGCCUGCUCAGUUUCAGAAGUUACAAGAAUAGGAGUUACAGGUUCAGAGCGGAACAAGCUAGCUACUCUUAUUUAAACAAGAUGAGGUAAUAUAAUGACAAAACUUUUUCCUAGCAGAAACAGAGAAAACACGUCUUUUACAUAAAUAUAAGAGUCCAUCUAAACGUAAAGAUACUAAAUGAAAGCGCUUUUAUAACAACCUUUCCAUAGUGCAGGUAUGAGAUCAUAUAUACACAUACAUUUGAUGUCUAUAACAAGCAAGCCUCCAAGUCUCUAGUAUAUUGGGUACGUUGAGGGUAUGUGUGGGUGUGUCUGUGCAAAACCAGGGAAGGGGGAGCAAAUGUUACGGCAAAAUGGCUUUGGAGUCCAACAGCUGACAUCAUGAAGUAAUUUCCAAAAAGGUUCUUGAAAUUUUUAGAUAAUCUUAAUGACACAAGCAUUUUUGUGCCUUCACAGAAAACAUAACCUGCCAAUUUCCAUGUUCUAUUUCAAGUUUCCUUUUUACUAUUUUAAUCCUAUCUUGAAAACACCCUUGAAUCUCUACAGAUUUCCUUCUACUGUUAGUUGCAGUAGUUGACUUCUGCAUGUGCAAUCUCUGGCAAACUUCCACAGCCAUACGUGUAAAAAUAUCACCAGCUAACAGAAAAAUAUCAGGCCCCAUUCAAUCAAUUUGGAAAAGUAGAUUUCAUAUCCAUGUUUGUAUCUACAACAUAAGGUACUUAAUAAAAGCCAAAGAGUCUAGAUCAAUACCUACAUAGACUUUGAAGUCAUAUGGCACGUUAGAGAUGAGAGUGUUGUGCUUAUCAGAGAUCAUGAGCAUGAAGUUCCCAGGCUCAACUAGACUGAAAGAAAAUGACUGAAUACCCAGCCCAACAUCUUCGAAAACCAGAUCCGACACUGGCAUAGAUAAGUUUGUCCCCUUCUGCACAACUUCAACAUCAAAUGCAUACGAUCCAGGGACAAGAUUUCCAUAAGAAUCAUGCUGGUGUAUAAAAGCUUCCAUCAUUGAGAACAGUUGGAAGGCUUUUGUUUCAAUACGCCAGCGUACUAAACAAUUAGCAACAUCUAAAGUUCCUGUACAGAACAUUCAGAAGGGGUAUAAACUACAGAGAACAAAGCAAAGAUCUACACAUGAUGCAGUACAACUUUGAGACGAUAUAAAGUAGAAUCAGCAGCAUUUCAUUAGUUCAAAUGUCUUAAGGUGUACCAUCCAACUGUUAUUAAGAUGCGAAGUUUUUGGUACUUUGUAUAUUUAGAUGAGUGGCUGGGACCCAAGAAAACACAGCAGUGACAUGGACUUCCACAAGAACAAUGCAUUUAAAUAUGAAGAGCAAGUGCCUCUUGGAGUAAUGUGAAAGGCAGAAUGCAAUGCCAUAAUCUAAUAUUAGAAGAGUUACACGCCCAAAACGGAAGGAAGAGAUUAGAGAAUAACUGCAACACCAGUGAAUGAUGCAUUUGACCAGGCAGGAGAUUUAGCUAAUUCCAUUAUUUACUUAAUAAAAUGAUGAAGUUUGAAAUAAAUAAUCGCUACCUCUUUUAACCCCUAUUUCACAUGCACACUCAAUGGGCCUUUAAAUCUUAAGUUUCAUACCGCCCCCCGCCCCCCCCCCUCUCCUCAUCUGAUAAAAAUCACCAAUAAACUUCUGCAGGCAAAUACAGCACAGGCAGAGAAUCCAAAUGAUGAAUUGUUAAAUAAGAUGCAGUUGUUGGAGGAGCAGGAUGGAAAGGCAGAGGUACGUAUUUGCCUUUUCAGGACUCGCAAACCACAUCAUAAGUUAAUGCUUAGGAAAUCACCUGUUUUCACCUUGAAUGGCAAUGGGGAGCCAGUCAACGUUUGAUUUUUCUCUCGAACAUGAAGUAAGAGGUUCCCAGAUGAGGCCACAACAAAUUCAAUACUGAGAUAUCCUAACUGAUUCCACCCCUUGUCAGUAAUGUUAAGCACGUCUGCAGCAGAACCAUCCAGACUAGUUGCUGACAACCAAAAACUAUAGGACUCUGAUCCUUUACUGAUUGAAGAGACAUUAUUCCCAAAUGCAUCUUUAGGGAGUAUCAAAAUUGUAGCUUUUGUUCCAGCGACAAACUCGUUUGCUCCAUCCAUCCACAAGACAAUACCAGCAGCUAAAUACAUUUUUCCUUCACAUUCAUAGCAGUAUGUAAGCGGUCAUCAUUGUACAAAUUCAUUGAUGAUAAAACUGGCAGCGUUAAACUGAAACAAUAUGUGCCCGCAGAACUGAUAUUAAUUACAUUCUUGUACUUAAAAAGUACUAGCAUGAUUGAGAUAUAGAAAGUCAGUUUUAUCCUGCUAUACAAACAUUGUUGAUUCUCUAGAUCUAGAGCCAACAUAUCUCAUAAUACGAGAUGAUCGUUGAAAGAAAAGUAACAGAAGAGCAAAUGAGAGUCAUGAUUACAUUGUACGUAUGGUCAAAACGCUGCUAGCCCUCAUUGUACAAUUGAAAGUUCAUCCAGGACAGGACGAUUGCACAUGUAAGAUAGCAACUUGUCAAGAAAAACAAGUUUCCCUAAACUGUGAUAAACGUCACUAAAAGGAAAACAACUGAACGUUACAAAUGAGGACAUUCUCACUGCAUCCAGUGACUGGAUUAUCAUACAAUGAAAUAAAAGAUGCAAAACAAACCUGGAGUGACUCGGAAAUGAAGGGAAGAGUCCAAGACAUUGAAAUUUUCUUCGGUGAUCAGCACAUUGAACAAUCCAACCAUAAUAGGGAUGAAAGAUAUCCUCCAGUUGUUAACAUCAACAUCAAACUGUAAAGAAACCCCAGAAAUGUAGGAGCUAUUACCCAUCUUAUCGUUGACUGUGAUGUUAGGAUUAAAGGGGUACUUGUACUUUCCACUCUCAAAAUUUCCUAGAACUUUGACCUUUAUAGUUGCUAUAUCCCCUGCCACAAAUGUGUCAUUGCCAUCAAACCAACUGAAAGCAAAAGUGGGCAUUGAUGGACUCUCUGCAACAAAUACAAAAAUGAUUCAAUAAAUAAGUAAAACAAAAUCCACCUCCUAGAAUUGAUGUAGAAAUGCCGGCAUUACCUGAUUUUGUGACUAGAAGACUAAAAGAUGGAAACAGAGAGGCAGUGAGGAAGGAAAUGAUAAGUAUGAUUUUAGUAUAUAAAAGCAUUCUUGAGUGUCCACGUACGAGAUUACAGUGAAUUGCAGAAAUGAUUUGACUUCAAAAAAAUUUUGGUGGGGAAGAAAGAUCUGGUAUAGGGCGGGAAAAGUUCAAGUUGAUGAAUAGCGGUUAUGAUAUCCGUGUGGAAGUCUGGGUUAUGGUUGGUUAUUGACAGUUACUUGAACUCAUUUUCUGUCGCAAAUAUUUUUUAUUUAUUGGCAGUGUGGUAAAAGAAAACAAAGAUCAAUUGUAUUUUCAGAUUUUUCUUGCAAUAGCUAUUACUAAUAUAAAGAUCAUUCUUUCGAUAGCAUUUUUGUUCAAUCAUGAAUAUUAGAUGUGUCAAAAUGAAGGACAAGGGGCACAAACGGUUGCAGGUCAAUCGUUUGUGGCGGUUUGUGCAUUUUCCAACAGCGCGUAACAUUUUUUGCACGUCGCGUAACUUUCUUUACACACGGAGUAACUUUAGAACAAAUUUUUGUGGACCCCACACAUGGCGUGAAAAUCGAGUUACAUGUUGUAAUUUGAGCCGCACAAAUUUCUGAGGCCACAUCGUGACCGUGAACCUUCAGGAACGGUUGUCAAAAUGAGUGACAACCGUUCCUGCCCCAUUUCCCAAAAUGAGUGAUUCGGGUGGAUUUGAACGGGUCAUAAUUUGAUAAUGGGUAUAAUUAGGUCAACCCACGUAUACGCAUUUAAUAUAUGGGUACGAGUAUAUCCAAUAUCUAUUUAUGAGUCACUUAAAAUUCUAUUUUUUUUUAGCAUAUUGUUUGACAAGAAAUAACGAUAUCUUAUUGUUAUUUGAUUGAUAAGAAAUUGAAAUUUAUUUUCUUAACACUCACUAAAAAUUGAAUUUAAAUAUAUAAUUAUUUUAAAUGAGUAUAAACGGAUGAACCGAAUCAACCCAUUAUCAAUCAAUUAGAUGAGUUUAAUUGAGUACCAAUUUGAACCCAUUCAAAAUUAAUGGAUAGGUUUGGACAGGUUAUUGGUGGACGAGUUUGAACGGAUCAACAUAAUUGAAUUGUAAUUAACACAUCUAAUAAACAGGAUCUGAGAACAAGAAUGACUAAGGAUGAUAAUCUUUCCAGGGUCCAAGCCAUGAUAAAGGCAAAUAUUUUGUAAGAAAGAAUAUUGAAGUUAACCAUGAUUCACGUAGGAUACUGUUGGAGCAUCGAACGGACAAGUACUUUUCAUAUUAUGAAACAAUUGAACGUUUGCACAAUCAAGUGUACAAAAGUAAAGAUAUAGUGAAUAAUAGAUUUGCAGUUUGGUAGACUUUUACUAGAAUAGAUGUAAAAGAUGCAUGUAAAAUUUUCAUGUCGAGUGGUCUGCGCUUUUUCGAUUCUAAUAUCUCAUCGCCUACAUUUACAUCAAAUUUUGAUCACGGGGUUGCAAACUAGUUAUGUUUGAAAACCACAUGUUAGACAUACGUAUCGAUUACCUUUUUUUUUUUUUUGGGGUAAAAAAAGAAGACUGUUGUGUUUGAUAACCAUGUUAGAUAUAGGCAUCGGUUACCUCUUUUGUUUUUUUUUUUUUGGGUAAAAAAAGAAGACUUGAAUAAUAAUAAUACCGCUUCAUAGCACAUUGCUUUUAUCUAAAUUCGUAUAAUUUUAUCAUUUUAAACUGAUUAGCAAUAAAACGUUUCCUGCAACAAACAUUCCCUUUAGGACUUUCGGUCUUGCCGCCGACGACCUGCCAACAUGCAGCAGAAUUUCCAAAUCCAGUACUUCGUAAUUUUCACCGCACUUAACUUCACAGGAUUAUUACAAUUCAACUCAAUUCAACAUUGAUAACAAUUUCCAUGCAGUGGCUGAAGAAAUCUUUUAGCAAGGCAUGAAACUCCAUCACAGCACAAAGGAAUUUUAAGUGUGCCGUUUUUGUUGUCUCUGUUGCUUGGUUGAGGUGGAUGCUAGAAAACAAGAAUGGGAUUAAAGAAAAAAGAAAACAUUGCCGCAUGUUCAGAAUUUCUAAUUCAACAAUAAGGUAACAACAGAAAAGCUAACUGAUUGUCUCCAAAACAUGAAGUAUGACAAAAUUGUCUCGCAAAAAUUGCCAGUUCGGCUAUAGAUAGCACCACCAAAACAAGGAGACACACCCCUUCAAACUCUAAAGCCUCUGCUAUUUCUUCUUCCCCUAGCUCUCUCAAAUUUCCUACCCGUGGACCUAACAUAUGGUUUGGUGUGGCUAUGAGGCACACCGGGAGCUGGGCCAAAAUGUUUCACGGCCUCGCGUGCAUUCUUUGGGCCUCUAAGUAAAACCUGCAACAACAAGAACAGUGACUUGUUUGAUGUAUUCAUUUCGCUUAAAAGAAGGAUAUCUAUCAGAGAUUGAACUUUCUCUAAGCAAACUAACUACAGCUCUGUCUGAAAAUAUUCUCCACAGUGUUGGCAAAGUUAGAACCCCAGUGUUUUAACUAAAUUCAAAUGGAAAAAGGUAUCAAAUGGAUGCUGACCACUAAGCCACACACCCUGUGUCAUAGAUAUCAUCGGCAAAUAGCAAAUCAUGGCCUCGAAUAGUUUUCAGAGACGGGCACAACAGACAAAGUGCCUUGUUUGGGGGACAAGCAUGCUCCUCAGAUGAAUCUAUCGUAUUCUUUGUCCUUAGUUUUGUCAAACUGUUUGGCUUUCCUAAGGACUGGCUACUUGGAAAAAAACCAGACAGAAAACAGAGACAUGAAAAUGAACCAUGGAACAGACUCAACUAGAGGCUUUUGGGAAUGUAAUUUUAGAUGCAUACCGUGUUCUGACCAAGAGGAGCCCUCAGGGCCAACUGAUCAAAGGUCAAGCACUCUCCUCCAGCCUUCUCAAUUCUUGCUCUGGCCCUCUCUGUGAACCUCAAAGCAGCCACCUUCAAAGUUGGCACUUCGUACGCUCUAGUAUCAUUAGUUACUGUUCCAACAAGCACUGCAAUUUUGUCCUCCUAGAUAUAAAACAAGAUGAAUGCAAUUAGCUUGAAUAGUUUAUAUGACAUGCUAUGCAGUUAAAUUAAAACUAUUUAUAUGACAUGCAACUUAAUUUCUUCUAUUCAAAGCACUUUUUGCUUCCCCUAUCCCAUGAAUCUGCACAACUUCACUUGAUAUUCAAGCUAAUUAUCAGUGGCAGCAAUAUUAGUUUUGGGCUAUUAAAAGCUAUAUUAAGUUUUGGGAUGUUAAAGAACAUCUUAAAGUAAUCACUUAUAUUAGCUACACAGAACAAAAGGAAAACAAAUCAAGGCAAAAAAUAAAAAAAGGCUGAACUUUGUAGCAAAACCCAUUUUGGAUAUCACUAACAACUAGCUCAAAUGGACAUCAAUGAGAAGCAGAAGUCAAGGUCAAUCAAACGAAUCCCCAAGUAAAACUCCAGGAACUAAGCAAAGUACCUUUCCUUCCAUGAACUUGACAAGGCUGGAGAGUGACAGAGGAGGCUUGUUGGUCUUACUCAUGAACAACCUCUUCAGCAGUACAGCAUUGAACCUGCUCCCUGUCCUCCUCACCAAAAAUCGGUACAACUACAACGAACACGAAGCAUUCUAUAUGAAUUCAAAUACCUCUAUUCCCACCAAACUUGUACAUAUAUUACAUCAUCAACAAAAAAAAAAGAGAAAGGAAAAACGUAAUCUUUAUGAUUAUGCGCUUGACUAAAGCUGAAUGAAAUUCUUCGGAGCAAUACUUACUAACCAGCCAAAAUUCAUGUGUUUGCAAAUCUAAGCUAGACAAAUGGAUUUCAUUCACGAACUAUCAGCAAUCCUUAUACUUUAUUUCUGAUUACAAAUAUGAAUACAAAUAAAAUUCUUCACAGCAAUGGUUUACUUGACAAAUUCAUGUGCUCAUACAUAACGUAGUAUAAAAACAGAUUUUUCUUUAACAAACACACGAAUAUCAGACAGAGACUUAAAAAAAAAAAAAAAAAAAAAAAAAGCCAAAGUAGGCACCUUGACUAGGAGCUUGAGGUAGAUGUCAUGAGAUUUGGGGGCGGUACGCUUAGUCUUCUUAACUUUGCCGCCGGCUUUCAAAUCAAUACCCUGAAAAAUACCAAAAUUAUACACCACAGAAUUGGAUAUUAGGCUGAAAUCUUCGUCCCAGCGCAACUAAGCAGAGGGAGAGAAACGUAGAAAUUACCAUUUCUUCUUUUUCGAAGUCUUGGCGAAGACGAGAUUUCUGUCGGAGGCCGCGGGCUUGGCUGCUAAUGGAGUACUGGACGGCUGCUCCUCUAUAGUUUUGGAGGUUUUCUUAUUAGGGUAGAAAUGGGAUAGGGUUUUUGCCUGGGGAAUUGGCUCCCGUGACAAGCUGGUGAUGCUGUUUAUUACAGACCACUUGGAUCUCGAUCGUAGAAGGGCCAAGUCCGGUCAAUAAAGUAAUUUGGCUUUUCCUUUUUACUCAAGUAUUUGCAUUAAUUAUCACUGUGAAGGGGUUUUACUAAUAUUUUUUAUUUUCUUCUUAAUUUCCAAAGAGAAAUUACACAUUUUCUUUUUUAUUUCAGUGUAUCGAUUUUACGCCUAGCCUUUUUCACCUUUUUUUUUUUGUUUUUUAUACCUAUACGAUGAAUACCAUCAAUGUCUAUUGAAGUUACAGCAAUGAAGGCAACAAUAAAUACGGAAGCUGAGAUCAAUAUAAAGUAGGGAUCAUCAAAACACUAAACCAGCCCCGCUGAUAGUUAGAUUGGUUCGAAGUAAGUCCUGUGAUUGACUUCGACGUGCUAUCUCAUUGUACAUUUUUUGACCAAGAUUCUACACAAUCUUAGGGGAUCCAAUUGAAAAUCAGAUCGGACUGACCGGUUGAAUUGCGAACUGGCCAUACCUCCGAUCUAAUUCAAUUAAAAAAAUCAAAAAAUUAAUUGAACCGGUCAAGAUCGGUUGAAUCGGUAAAAAUCGGGAGGUUCAAUUGAUUUUUAUGAAGUAUUUAUUUUCUAAAAUAAAUAUUUUAGUUUUAUUCAAAAUUCUUAAUACUAAAAUGAAUAAAAAAUUAUUAAAGCUUUGAACUGGAGUCAAACCAGUUGACCGAUCAAAUCGUGAACCGAAAUGUUCACUCUUUGGUUCGAGUUUUAAAACAUUGAGGGGAUCGCCCUCCGUGUGCUACAUCGCUAUGUGUUUUUGAAAUAAGGCUCUACAUAGUUUUAGGGGGUUAGUUUGACCGAAAUGUUGCCCCUAAGUGAAAAAAAAAAAUCAAAACACUAUACAAAAAAAAAAAUCAAAACACUAAACCACCCAAUAUAAAGACAAUUUUUCAUGCGGGUUAUGCAAUUAUAGAAGCAACCCCAUUGGCUAUGACCAAAAAAUGAGAGGAAUUUGAAAUCUCGAUAGUUCUUUGUUCAAAAUCGUAUCGGUUUUUAUUAAUAAAAAAAAAAUCUCGUAAUAAAAGAAACAUAGGAGUUUGUUACUAGGUAUUUGACCAAAUAGGAUCGUCCAUUCCUAUAGAACAUAUCACUAAAAUAGCUCUAGAAGGGAUAAAACUAGGUGAAUCGAAAAGGAUUUAAGUUAUAUAAUUAUAUUUGUUAAUUUAAAUUUUUUUAUAAGAAAAGCUUGUAUGCAAAAUAUGUGAAGAUUUUGGCUGUUUUUUAUUUGAUUGAAUCUUAUAUACUCCAUCCCGCAGUCUCUCACGACCCUGAAGAAUCCUGCCAUGUCACUCAUGUUUGCCAUUUCUUCUGCUCUUCAAAACGCACCGUAUCGAGCAAUCUCCAUAAAAAACAGCCAAAAUCUUCACAAAUUUUGCAUACAAGCUUUUCUUGUAAAAAAAUUUAAAUUAACAAAUAUAAUUAUACAACUUAAACCCUUUUCACUUCACCUAGUUUUAUCCCUUCUAGGGCUAUUUUAGUGAUAUGUUCUAUAGGAAUGGACGAUCCUAUUUGGUCAAAUACCUAGUAACAAACUCCUAUGUUUCUUUUAUUACGGGAUUUUUUUUUAUUAAUAAAAACCGGUACGAUCUUGAACAAAGAACUAUCGAGAUUUCAAAUUCCUACUGUCAAUGUAUACACUAUCACGAUGGGAUGGAUGACAUGUAUUCAAAUUUUACACAUGUAUCAUAUAUCUAAUGAUGAUAAUAUAUACACUAAUAUUGUAUAUAAGAUUAAUCUUUUUUAUUUUGGGCAGAAUUGUUGUAGUUAAAAAUCAAGAGGGCCGGAUUGCGGUUAAAUCCCAUUUUUCUGCCUAAACAAAAUAACCAAUGACACUUCGUGCUAAUUUAGCUAGCCUUCGUCUUUAGUGUCAACUUUUUUUAACCAUUUGGCCGUGAAGAAAAUAACAAUGCAUGCAUCUUGUGCAUCAAAUUAUUCUCAAGUCAAUCAAUCCUACCCCCAUGCUAACGUCCAGCUAAAAUGACAAUUGAAGAGAAUCCUUUUCCUGGACAAAACAUCAAAGUUAUCUGUGUAGCAACAGUUCAGUAUAGUAUCUGAAUUUGGCUUGUUUUUUAAGGAUCAUCAGUUCAUGAAUUUCCAAUUCAUGUUUGACAGGCCAUUUCAAUUGUCAAUUUAUAAUCAAGUCGAAUGUACAACAAUAUACAUGAUCACAAAGAAAAAGAAGAUUCAUGAUUGCAUGAGCUUGAGGAAGCCAAAGCUCCUGUUCCCAGCCUUGUGCUUCAGCAUCAUUGACAAACAGAGAAUUUAGCAGCUUCAGAGUCUCAGUAACCUCGAUUUGGCAUUAAAAACCCUGAUAUUUCAAGCUCAAAAAACGCCUAUGCAACUCAAAAGCUAGUCAGAUCCACAGCUCUGGAGCCAAGGCUUGACCCUUAAGUCUAGUUCAUGGAGCAGUCACCUCAUAUGCAACAUCAACAGCUCUGGUUUUUCAAUGUACAGCUUCCAUUCAUUGCAGAACCUUGCAACUGUUGCACCAUCAAGGACUCUAUGAUCAGCACCAAUAUUAACCUGAGAUAGUAAACGCCAAAGUGAGAGAGAGACAAAAUAAACUCCCAAUUAGCAACAAACAUUUUGCAACCUUAUGAUGCACUAAUAUCAAUAAUGGCAGGUUGCUGGACAAUUAUAUUUGCAAAAUGUGGAAUUGUUUAUACUGGGGAAACUUAGUGAACCAUUCACUACUUACGGUCAAGACUGACAUAGGAUACACAUUUCCAUCUUCAGCAAACUGAGGAACUUUCUGGAUGCGGCCAAGUGCAAUGAUGCAAACUUCGGGCACAUUGACUAGUGGGGAACCAAACUUUCCACCAAUUGCCCCUAUGUUACUUAAGGUUAUAGUUCCACCAGUUAUAUCAUCAGGGUUAAGUUUAUUUGCCAAAGCCAAUUGUUGAAGCCAUGAUAAUUCCUUUGUUAUCUGCAGAUAGAAUAUCAAUCAAUCAACAACUCUAGGCAAGCAAAAUUGCAUAGUCCACCCUGACCUGAAUCCUUUUUGUCCUUUUCAACAAAAUAAAUAAUCAAAUAGGAAAAUGAUGCCCUGAAUUGAGAGAGAGUACUAACCUCCAAGAUCGAUAGAGAUUGGACCUUCUUAAUAUUUGGUACCACCAAACCAUGUGGAUUAGCCAUAGCAACUCCAACAUUAUGAGAUCCUUUUGAAGUAUGAAUGAAAUCAAGGUACAAGAUUUAAGUGAGCAACAAAUCAAGAGAGUUUUCAUGUUAAUGAUCAGACAGUUCAAUAAUGGAUGAACUUCUAUCCCUGUCAUCACUAUCAAUAAUUUCAUGAUGAAAGUGACUAUCAUACGUUUCAGUUGCUUAAAAUAACAAACUUCUAGCAUCUCUGAAUGAUUACAGAUACACCUGAAUCAAACUGUAUACAACAUCUACAGAUCCAAACAUGAAACUAAAAGAAAAAUAACAAUGAUUUUGGAAAGUUCAAGACCUAAAUCUUCCUUCACUAAAAUGAUGACAAAUACACCUUGAAGCAAAUUAUUUUGUUGAAUGCAAGCUCAAAAUUAUCUCAAGGACCCAAAAGAAGCAGUCGAGUUCUGGUGAGGUGGCUACAAUACGAGGAAAAGACCCAAGGCAACAUGUGGCCAGAACAAAAAAGGCAUAUCAGUGAUCAUAAGUGUGCUUAACAGUGAUCUCUUGUACAUCAUGUAUACAACAACGUAAUCCUGAGAUUUGGCACUUCAUAGACUACUGACCUUUAAGUGUAACCUCAUUCAGUUCUUCAUUCAAGCUGCUGUUCAGCCAUGGAUACUUACUGAUUGCCAUGGAAAGUGACUUUAUCAAGAUGGGAAGGAAAGUGAACUUGACAUCAGGAUCAGAAUUCUCAUUAUGAAAGGAAGAUUUGAGCUCUACAAGUGCAUCACAAUUUAUUUCUUCCACAUAAUGAAAAUGAGGAAUUUUAGCAGCUGAUGACAUGGACUUUAUCAUAGCACGUUGAUAACCCCUGAAAAGUCAAAUUCCAUUAGCUCAUCAUUUCCACAGUUAGCCAACUGAAGUUCAUCAUCUAUAUCAUAGCCUAUAAAAAAAAUAUACUUCCCCUGCCGCACACCACAACAGCAUUAAGUAAAAUCUACUAUAAUGAUGUCAAGUUCUGUAGAACUUGACAUCAUCAACCCAUAAAAGAUUGCCAGAGGUUAAGACAUAUAAACAUAUUGCGAAGAAAUGGACUGGCAAUCCUCUAUCAGAAAGACCAAAUUACCAGAAAACCUCAGCUUCCUCCUAAUGAAAAUAGAUGUGGAGUAAUGGACAGAACAUAAAAUUCUAUUAAGUCCUCUCAGUGAAAGAGUAGCAGUAUGAAAACUGAAACAGAGAAAUGACGGAGAGAAAAGAAAAAUAAUUCUUCAACAAGUCAAACAUAGAAGUCGAGAAAAUUUUAAAUAUAUGUCUUCAUUCACAGAGAAGACAUGCCUUAAUGUAACAGUCUUAUCUUCAAAUUCCCAUCCGUAUGCGCCGGAAAUACCCUCGAAGCUGUUGUCAGCUACCUGUGACUGCUCUCCCGAAUAAGCACCCAAAGAUGUUGGAUCCUUAAUAUUUUCUUUCUUAGCAACAUAAUUUAGGACAUCCUCUCUCAACACUCUUCCAUCUUUACCAGUUCCAACAACAUCAUUUAUAUCAAUACCAUAAUCUUUUGCAAGACUACGAACAGCAGGGGUGGACAGAACUUUCUUAAUGGCACUCCUCUGAAGCACAGAACUGGGAGAAUCACCUUCAAGACCAUUGCAGUCCAAAUUAUCCAAAGGAUGCAAAGUUUGCAUAGGGCAAGCAGUUUCAUCAACAAUCAUUUUCAAUAGUGUUUCUCCAACCUGCAAACCAAACGAUGAUGAGGAUAUUACAUUCUUUGAAAGACCAAAAUCAAGACUCUGCAGAUAUGGAUUGUACAAGAGGGCAAACAAAAGUUCCAAAAAGGGACGAUUCUACCAAUGCCAAAAUAGUAGAUAGGUGGAGGAAAUUCUGGACUGAAAUGGUGAUCAAGACAAGCCAGAAUGAGUAGCCAUCGAUGGUCAAUCUUAAAGAAGAUUAACUAUGCCCAUAUUUUCUAGAAAAGUAAUCGUUGAAGGUUUAGAACAAAGAAAAUUAUUGGCAGUCCCACACUUACAUAUCUUGAAACAAAUAAUAUAUAGCCACAGCUCAUAGAGAGAAUGGACUUGUGUAAAAGCAUAUGAAGGUGCAUGAAAGACUGGUUUUUUAUGUUACCUUUACAAUGUUACCAGGAACAUGGAGAAUUUGAGAAACUUUUCCUUUGUAACGGCUGGUUAUUUCGAUGGUAGCUUUGUCACUCUGAACUUCACAAAGUGGUUGAAACUCUUCAACUUCAUCACCCUGCAAGAUUUUUUUUUUUUAAUCUUCAUUUGAUAUAAGUAGCAGUCUCACAUGGACAACCUGGGAAAGAUGUCUCUGGUCUGCAAUGUCGCAUUCACUGUUCUAACCAAGUAUCAAGGACAAGCAUGUUGCACAUGACUCGAAUACCUAUCUUAAGCUGCACGUAGUUGAAGUUUGUUAUCCCAUGCAUGCCUUCAAAGAUUUUCCAUGUAGCAGUGUUUCAGAACAGCUAAGUACUAUUUUUAUUUGGCAAGUCUUCUCUAACUUAAAAAGUCUUUCAAUAUUUUGUCGAGUCUCCUGAUUUUCGCUUUAGAUAAAGAGCAUUCAGACUUUCAAACACGUGCAAGCCCCAGAUAACUCGUGACAACAUCCAUGAUACAUAGGUUGUUUCUGGAUACUUCCAAAUUUUUGCAUGAAAUAAAAUAACAAGCAUUUGUACAUGUGACAAAAGAACAACUAAAAACGGUGUAUAGCCCAUCUCGUGCUAACAACAUGGGAAGGAUGAAUAAGCUAGACACUAGUGGAUAGAAAUUUUCUUCAGAAAAGAUAAUAGCAGUAGGCUGGGUGAUAUGCCAAAAUACAGCCCAGCAUAGUGAUUCAACUAAGCUUAGAAAUAGAUCAUAACUAACCUCUUGAAUAAACCAUUUCAGGAGUUCACAUUCAGCAAUACCUUCUCCAGUUUGUGCCAAAGGAAUAUCAACUAUCCCAUCAACCGGAGAAUCAACUACAACUUGAGUUGAAAAGCAACAUCUUCUCAUACCAAAUUCGUAAUUUGACUGCAAAACAACAAGAAGAGAGAAAUUAACAAGCAAGAAUAAUGAAUAGAAACUGCAAUUUCCAGUCCACUUCACAAGUUCUUGAAAAAAAAAAUUUGCACCAACACAAGAAGCCAGCAUCUAUAUUCCUAUUCUAACAGACAAAUCUCAACACAGGCACAGCAUACAAACAUAAUAUCCAAAAACACAACUUUUCGGCUCUUCAUAUGGAAAUGGCUUCACAUAGAACGAUGUCUUGUUUAGAAUGAGCACAUGGAUAUCCCUCCAGGGACACAUUUUGCCUUGCAAACCGUAUAACAAAUCCCACCCUUUUUCCACUUCUACUUGGAACAAAUACACAAUUCAACUCACCAGACUACUCAAGCGGUAGGACUACUGGCAUAAAAUAGUUUUAACAUGAAAAAAAUAUUCCAAAGUCCCCAGCUUUUAACAAAAGGACCUUUAUGAAAACCUUACAAAUGCCAUUCAUUUCAUUCACCUUAAUGAGUCGGAUAAAACAAUCUGACUUCUGUGAUUCUGAAAAUUAAACUAAAUUAACAUCCUACAUGGGCAUCAAAGCACCACAAUUCACAGGAAAAAUAAACAAUAAAAUGGCUACAGAAUUAAGGGAGGGAGCUAUAGCACACGACUAAAUGACGAAAAUCUGCUUUAAGAAAACAUAAUCACAAUCACCGGUAGCACCAAAGGAAAUCCCAGAACAGGAGUUUAGCUACCGACAAUAAAUUCAAUGAGAAACAGAGUUAAUGAUGGUUGAUUACUUCAUUGAGCUUAAUGUAUUGCAGAAACGACAUCGUUGAGCAGGGGAAGAUGGAAGCUUGGGAAGUCGAACCCAGUGAUAGAGUGGUUGUUGGGCCUUGGCCAGGACCACCGGUGGCCACCGGCGGCCGAGUAGGAGCAGUAGACGAGUAUAACCACCGCCGGCAGGUAAUCCAUGGCUUCCGCUGAUGCAUUCGCCGGCAAAGCAUUGUGCAAUGGUAAGAGCUGGAGUAGCGUGCGACCGCUUCGUUGCAAGUAACGUACUAGCAACUAAUUAAACCACUUGGGAUGGGAGGAUUUCUGCUUGGUUACGUUGUUUUUUUUUUUUUUUUUUCUGACAUUUUCUUAACGGAAGUCAAGAAUUCGAUAAUAAACCUAUAUCCCCGAGUAACCUUGCAACUUUUGAAGGCACCCAGGGGACUUAUAACCCAACCCACAACCCCCCCCAAUACCGAUGUGGGAAAGAAACCCCUACAGGGGCAAGCCCAGCAGGGCGGCUUCUGCUUGGUUACGUUGUUCAGUAGAUGGAACGUAAAAUUUUUAAAUUUGUUUAUUUAGGAAUUAUUGAGAUGAUUAGCAUUUGUCCUCAUUUGAGAUUUGCCUGCUACAAAUUUUUUAACAAGUUUAGUUAUAAUAUUUUUUAAAAAAUUUUUAAAUUAUACACUUUAAAAUAUUUAAAAAUUUACACAUUUCAAAAAAAUUUUCUACAAUUUUUAAGUAAAUUAUAAUAAAAUUUUAGACAAACACCCUAAAAAUUCACUUGUCAAACGGACCCAGAAAAGUUACUAGAGUUCUUUCCAUAAUAUAUUGCCAUAAAAAAUAUUUUUGAUUGUUUUUAUUUUGUCAUGAAAGAGAUGGUUAAAAUGGUACGGAUUAUUUUCUUUUGGAUAAUUUUUUUUUUUUUGGUGUACUGUGAGUAUGUAAUAGGUGUAUAUGUUUGUCAUAUGAUGAGCCUGGGCCCAAGAAAAUUUUGUGACUGUAACCAACUCUUUGAUCCUAUAGUAGGAGAGUAAGGCCCAAAUACUGAUAAACAGUCCAUCUAGCCCAAACUCAUAGACCAGAGCCAUUGGUCCUUUAUGAAAUACGCUUCGGGUUCCGACUGGUUGCUAUUGGGGCAGUUCUGUUGGGGCUAAAUUGAACUGCAUUAGCAGUGCGAGGUCUGGAAUUUUUUGAAUUUCUGGCUUCUUUCAGGUGUUUUAUGACAACAUAAUAAAUUUUGAAUAGAGGACUAGAAUAAUUGCGCUAAACUCAAAUCGCUUGCUACUAGUGCUUUUUGAUGAGGUUUGUCUUGUAGAAGUGCUCAAACCGGAUUUGUGAUCAAUUGCACGUAUGAUUUACUAUGCAAAAAAAAAAAAAAAGAAAAGAAGAAGAUGGUAUAGCCAUCUUUUUUAUUUCCCUAGGCAAAACAUGUAUCAAGUGUCUUCAUUUCUCCUUUUGAUUACUAAGGCCUUGUUUGAUAAUCCAAUUCAGCACUUCAAUUUUAUAAAUUCAGACCUUAACAUGUUAAAACGUGUUUAAUAACCAAAAAUUGAAUAUCUGAAUUAAUUAAAUGAUAUUAAAUUUUUUAAAUAAAAUUUGCUCCAAAAAAUAAGUGAUAAGCUAUGUGAUAUACACUCAAGAUUUUAGUACUUAAUAAUUCAAUAAAUUAAUGAAUUCAGACUUCUCACGUUUCAGUUUUUUAUCAACCGCACCCUGAGUGAGCUAGUCAUCAUUAAAAUCAUCAUCAUUGUAAGGAGCGCAGUUCUUAGAAGCUUGAUUAAUUUUGAAGACAGGGAUAAAUGGAAUUAAUAGGUAGGGGCAUGUAUACGGUCCUACCUGUUUAAAAUUUCACAAAAUGAUGCUGCUGGAAUCGAUCGUGCAAUGUGCCGGAUCGAGUUGACCAGUAACCGCUUCUUGCGAUUGUGACCUCACCAAAUUUUAGGGGACUCCUGUAAUGGGAUGGUGCUUUUUCCAUUUGUGAAAAGCUUGUCCUCCUCUUUUUCACGUCAAUGAAAAAAAAUUCUUGUACCCUCUUGUUACUGAUGUUAGAAGUAGUAAAGUGGUUCCUUCCUCUCCUGUACUCAUGUUACUGAUGAAAAAUGUGUGCCCUUUUGCCCAUGACACUCAUUUCUUUUUUAUUCUAGUUGGAAGUCGUCAGAAGGUGGUGAGAAUUAGGACAAUGUCACGUCUCAUACACUAGCGUACAUCCUUAUAGAAAGAUUCCCACAUGGCUAAUGUGCACUUUUGCAUCAACUACUGCUAUUCUCAUCUUCUAGUCCUUCCAAAUACUUAGCUAGCUUAGCAUGUCCUGCUUUAUAAGGAAAAACUCUCAUCUUCCACAACUUUUAUUAAGUUUUUCGUGGCUUCAUCAUCAUCACAUGCAUGCAGAGUUGCAUGGACAGUUUCAUCUUUCUUUUAAUGCCACAUGCCAUGUGAGAAGUGAGGACCAAGAUGGCCUAAACAAAUUGUUUGGACUCCAUGAGUCCCAAGACACUGGAGAUAUGACUUCACUUCAGUUGUUAUGCACAAUGUUUGCCUGAAUUCCAUCGUGUCCAGAUGGUCCAUGAAACGUUUUGAGCUUAAUCAAUUAAUUUGCAGUGCCCAUGAUUCUCUUCACGUUUCCAACAUAAUGUUGAGAAGGAAAUAAUGGAUCAUGAACUCCUUUGCAUCUGAUACCAAAUGAAAACAACGCGUUCCCAAGCAAGUUCUCCCCAUGGAAAAAUACAUUUGCUGAGCAGAAGCACACUCUACUGUCAUGCACGUUGUCCUUUUUAAUCAAGAGAUUCCAAGUGGGGUCACGAAGUUUUUUUACCCUAGGGUGUCUGAGCAGCUAGACCAAUUUGGCAGAAACAAGAAAUUAUCAGUCCAAAGUGAAAAGGUAGGGAAGAAAAUAAAAUGUGUUGGUGCGUGAAACGUAGACUUGAAGGCAUGAAGGGGAGCAUGCCUAUGAAGAUAAAGGCUGAGCCAGUGGAUUGUCCGCAUUUCCAUGCGCAAGAAAAUUGGUGGCAUCCCAUCCAAAUAUAACUUCAAACUUGGACUGUGACUUGCUGUUGUGAUCCGGUCUUCGGGAUGAUGGUGAAUUGAUAUUAUUAUUAUUGAUAACCAGAGAAAUUUCAGCUUUCAGACAUGCUGGGAAACUGUCUUCAAUUGCAAUACUACUCAACACAAUUGCACUGCUGGAAUGAUACCGAUGGCUCCACUUACAAAUAGAGGAAAUUUGGGUGUCCACUGUCCACCCUGCAGGAAAGAUUUUGGCUUUGGAAUUAACUAUGGUUAAUAAAUUCGUGGCUCGUUUCUCUCUCUCUCUCUCUCUCUUUUUUUUUUGUUCGUUUUUUUAUGGUAGUGCACCUUAAUGUUGGUAAUAUUGAUAAGGGAGAACAAAAGGGUACGUGCAAAUCAAACCCUUCUUCUAGAACCAAAAAAUGCAAAGUAUAUCAAACAUUAAUGCCACUAACUGCAUAUUUGUGUCAUUUUAUGGCUAGAAGUUUCAAAGUGGUUCUGGAAACUCUCAAGGAAAUCUCUUUCAGUCCUGCAUGCUUCCACCAUUUACGCCUCUGUGAAAAAGUACUCAUGAUCUUCAAGAAUUUUUUAAGAAUAUGAGGAAAAGUGUUCACAGCACACAUAUUUUGCGCAUUUGUGGUCGGAUCCAGUACCCAACUCCUGCAUAAUAUAUAUAUGUCCAUCGGGCAUGAGACCAUAUAAUGUGGACAAUCUAUCUAUUAGUCGGAGAUUGUCUCCACUUGCUGAAUUUCCAGCUAACAAAGAUGCUAAGCUACAAUAGUAGGGUUAAAAAUAACAAUGAGUUUAUGUUGACAAACCAGCUCAAAUGAGGAAAAGAAGUGCUACAUCCUGUAUGAAAAUAGUCAACAUUCGUGGGUCCUACUGACUAAGGAUUAUUGCACUAAGAUUUACUGGAUAGAUCUCCAUGUGGAGUUCAAUUUUUGACCAUCAUUAGUCCUGUUGUUGGACCUUGAUAAUCCACCUUCUAGAUAGCUUAAGAUUUGAGGUUUCUUCCUUCUUUUUUUUUCCUUGUCAAUAUAAACAGAACAAAGAGCAGGCACAUGGAGGAGCUAGUAGUGAAAGUGAGAAUGUGGGACUCGACUUUGAACUGAGAAUAUUAGCAUUCAUCAAAAUGCAUGUCAACUUUCUGCAACUGCAACUUUGUGGGUUUAAGCUGGGAAACUUGAAAGAUCAUCUACAAUGCUAUUGGUGGUUAGUACAUUAUCCUUCUAUUAUGAUUAACAAUCAGAGAUGAUCGCACAACGGAAGGGUUGACACGACAUCGUAUAUAUAUAUAUAUAUAUACUGUGGCAUUGUACAAGAUACCCAACCUUAAAUCCCCUAUCGCAAAAUAUACCAAUCCUCUUAUUCCACGACAUCAAUUGUUGGGAGAUUAUGAACUGUCGGUGGUUCCAGUGGUUUGAUACAAUGCCCCAGAGAUUGGAACCAGAAUAGCCACAUAUAACAUCAGUGUAACAACCCCUUUUGAACACAGCAAGGAGAUUUGACAUCGUAAAAGUUAUAAACGGGCUCUCUCAACAACCGUACGAAUUUAGCUGUUAAAAUGGCAUUGGGUGGGAAGGUAUAACAUCCCAUCUUCGACAUGUAAUAAGUUGAUGCUUGAAAUGCAAUUUGUCUGCAGGAUUAUGACCAGUGGUGGGGGAUGACUGCUAGUCUCAAUUAGGUUUGGGUUUCCAAGUCAUUUGCUGCAACUAAUAGGCACAUGCAUGGUUUCUUAUGAGCAAGACAAUGCUUAUUUUCUGUUGUUAUAAAGCGCCGAGCCUUUUAAUCAAACAUCAUAGGACCAGCACAGCAACAGUGGAGAACAGUGAUAAGAUUGAGAAGCCAAGGAGAAAUUUCAACACGCAUAUGGAGAAUCAACGUCAAACAAUUAUUAGGCUUCGGGUCUAAAGCUAGUUGGCCAAUACCCUAAUAAUAUAUCAUUUUGAGAGUGCGUAGACUAAGAUUACUGCAUCAGCUCUUAGGACCAAACAUAGUUUAAUUAGUACUAGUUGGAAAUGUUUAACACAAUUUUCUCAUCUGGCAUAAUCAUGAUCAUGACUUUAGUAGUUGUCAUUUCAUUCAUUGUUCAUCUGUCUCCAUCUUUUCUUACGUCUUCCUCCGACAAGAGUUCGCUUAUAAAAAAUGAUUAUUAAUCACGAUAUUAUUAAACGAUUCACACAAAUAUGAAAAUCCCUAAAGUCGAUCAAGCAGGCAAGUAGUUUGUAUUCGUGCUUAAUUAAUCGCUUAGUAUAUAAUUUUUCCUUUCAUUAAAUCCAUGCACGUCUUCGCGGAAAGAAAAAGUACACGCAUGUUUUGUACUUCACUAAAAUUAGAGUACUACAUACUACAAAGUAAAAAACAAAGGGUAGACCCUAUGCAUGGUAGUAGUAAAGGAAAGGUUCAAGCCAAAUGCUUUGUACUUGUAGUAGCCAGAUAAUUAACUUGUUCCAAUGAUUUGGAAGUGUUUACAAGUUUAAACACGAAUAACCAUGCAUGCACGCAUGUGAUAUCACACAAGCAUUCAUUCAUUCAUGAAGAUGCCUCAUGCAUUCAUUGCAUGUUCUACAUAAAUUGGUACAAUGAAACACAAUAAUUAAACAACUUGUAAACUAACAUAGAAAUUGGAAAGUAAGAAUCCAAACAGGGUAAUAUAUCACAAUAAUUAAGAUUACCAUUAAUGCUGACUUUAGAGACAAGAAGCGUGCUAGUACUGAACAACAUAGGGGUUGGCCCCGAGAUCUUGGAUCCACUACUACAGGAAUUUUCACGUAAGCAUAAUAAGAUUGGAAGGAUGUUGCCAAGGCUAUAAAUAUUAAGUUGAAUGUGACAUAGACCUAAGCACAGGCUUCUAUCUCCAACCACCAAUUAUAGAUACUUGCCAUCAUUAACAUGGAAAAAGGUGUGACCUAAUUUCAAUAAUCAAAUGCAGUCUAUUACUCCUGUGGUCCUGCUCAGCCAUGAUAAAGGCAAAUAUUUUGUAAGAAAGAAUAUUGAAGUUAACCAUGAUUCAAGUACUUUUCAUAUCCUUACAAUAUAUAAGAGGUACUUUUGCCUUACUGUUCAAGGCCAGUUUCAUCUGCUCUUCCAAGGCCUUACCCGUCAUUUUGCCCUCCAUCCGGUGUUGCUUAUAUAUUUUCUCCUCCUCUUACGCAGGACAAUUUUGUGUGUAAGAAGUGGAGAUUUUUUACCUUCAUAUUACGCAUUUGCCCUUGGUCUACUUAUUAUUCCUUUGUUUACCCUCAAUAAAUUCUUUUUUUAUGGUUCUGCGAGUGUUAUGAAAUUGGGCUUUUUUGUCAAUUCCUUUGACAAGAUUGUUGGGUUACAUCAAUAAACAGUAAUCUCAGCCUCCAAUUUACACUUUCCUCCUUAAAGAUGCCUUUCUUGUGGAUUAUAAGAUUUUAGCUUGAGGUCAUCAUUGGAAAGUAAAUUUUAUGCCCCCACUUGCAUGAAUCUGCUGUUGCCAAUGCCAUAUUAAGCACAAUGGUAUACAGAUUAGUCAUGCGCAUAUGUACUGAUCUCCGUCAAUUUGCUUUGUUCUAUUUGCUUUCAUCUCCCACUGUUUUGCUUCCUUUGCAUUGCCGCUGCUGGUAAUCAUCCUUUUACUUCCUUCUGUUUUAUAUUUUAUAUUAUAUUUCCUCAUUUUUGUUCCACCAAAUCUGGAUAAUGAUCCCGCACAUUAUUACGCACCUGAACACGAUUACGCUCCGUCUGCACAAAACACUAAGCUUAAACUUAUAAUAAACUUUUACCAUCCACUAACAAAUUACGUUUGACCAAACUAACUUAUAAAACUCAAUGCUCAGUUCAAAACAAAACAAUACUAUACACAUGUGAACAAAGAUUCCAACCAUACAAAAAAAAAAAAACAACAACAACAAAAAGCUGCAGCUUCACAGACAUCUUUUACAUAAAAUAAUUUCUGCAACUCACAAUUAGCUACAUAAAUAAACAACAUUUUCCCAUGUUUUACUUCAGAAAAUUUAACCCAAGUAACUUUCCCAUGUUUUACUACCAAUCUUUCCACACAAGCAUUUUCCUAAUACCUAAAACAAAACAGGCCAACCCCCAGGCACCACCCGCGCCUCGCGCGGGAAAAACAACCUAGUUAUGAAACAAUUGAACGUUUGCACGAUCAAGUGUACAAAAGUAAAGAUAUAGUGAAUAAUAGAUUUGUAGUUUGGUAGACUUUUACUAGAAUAGAUGUAAAAGAUGCAUGUAAAAUUUUCAUGUCGAGUGGCCUGCGCUUUUUCGAUUCUAAUGUCUCAUCGCCUACAUUUACAUCAAAUUUUGAUCACGGGGUUGCAAAAUAGUUAUGUUUGAAGACUACAUGUUAGACAUAGGUAUCGAUUACCUUUUUUUUUUUUUUGGGGGUAAAAAAAGAAGACUGUUGCGUUUGAUAACCAUGUUAGAUAUAGGCAUCGGUUACCUCUUUUUUUUUUUUUUUUUUUUUUUGGUAAAAAGAGAAGACUUGAAUAAUAAUAAUACCGCUUCAUAGCACAUUGCUUUUAUCUAAAUUCGUAUAAUUUUAUCAUUUUAAACUGAUUAGCAAUAAAACGUUUCCUGCAACAAACAUUCCCUUUAGGACUUUCGGUCUUGCCGCCGACGACCUGCCAACAGGCAGCAGAAUUUCCAAAUCCAGUACUUCGUCAUUUUCACCGCACUUGACUUCUCAGGAUUAUUACAAUUCAACUCAAUUCAAUAUUGAUAACAAUUUCCAUGCAGUGGCAGAAGAAAUCUUUUAGCAAGGCAUGAAACUCCAUCACAGCGCAAAGGGAUUUUAAGUGUGCCGUUUUUGUUCUCUCUGUUGCUUGGUUGAGGUGGAUGCUAGAAAACAAGAAUGGGAUUAAAGAAAAAAGAAAACAUUGCCGCAUGUUCAGAAUUUCUAAUUCAACAAUAAGGUAACAACAGAAAAGCUAACUGGUUGUCUCCAAAACAUGAAGUAUGACAAAAUUGUCUCGCAAAAAUUGCCAGUUCGGCUAUAGAUAGCACCACCAAAACAAGGAGACACACCCCUUCAAACUCUAAAGCCUCUGCUAUUUCUUCUUCCCCUAGCUCUCUCAAAUUUCCUACCCGUGGCCCUAACAUAUGGUUUGGUGUGGCUAUGAGGCACACCAGGAGCUGGGCCAAAAUGUUUCACGGCCU
RNAcentral lists this long non-coding RNA (27537 nucleotides) under Coffea arabica (coffee). RNAcentral describes it as "long non-coding RNA (CARA_LNC002403)". The record is from RNAcentral. Lineage: Eukaryota; Viridiplantae; Streptophyta; Magnoliopsida; Gentianales; Rubiaceae.